CCCAGUUGGGUGUUACCCUUUAACCUCACCUCUGUUCCCUCAACCAGGUCAGAAGGUUGAAGUUUAUAUUUUAGUAAAACUAUAUUAUAUUACAUUAAUAUACUAUUUAAAGAGAUACUAUACUAUUCUACAUCUUACUUACUUAUCUAAUUUCUAACAAACUUGUGACACUCUGCUGAGUCUGAGACACAGUUGGACCUGAUUGGUCAUUGAACUUAAAUAACUUUCACUAGAAUCUAAUUAAGCAGUCCCUUCAGGUAAACAAUCUCCACACUAAAUUCUACAUGGGGGAAACAGAGGAGCAGAGAUAAAGAUUGUUUUCUUUUCUUCUCUCUGUGCUUUUCCAGAGAGACAGAAUUAUGUCUCUGUCCAGAAAAUAUGAAUGUCACAGGCGGUGGCUUCAGCAGCUCCUGCCCCACUGCCACACCAGUGUCCAGAUGUCCCCCACAGCCUGUCACGGUGACAGAACCAAUCUCUGGGUUGGUGUCCACCUGGGUGAACAUCUACCAGGCUGAACAGCCCGCCUGGCUGAUGGGCAGGACUCCUGGAUUGUGGGGUGCUAGGUGAGGAACCCCAGGGUGGGGGGAGAUUGGUGGGGGGACCCUUGGAUUGGCAGGUUCUGGGUGGUAGGCAUGACAACCCCAAUUUUGGGGGCGUAGGAUAGGGGGAACAUGAGAUUUGGAAGAAUGGGCUGUUUUGGUGAAGGGGGCUCAAGUUUGGAGGGAGUGAUGAUUUCGGGUACCCCGAAGUUUGAAGGUGGUGGUGAAGCACAAGUGUUUGAAGGGGGUACCAAUUUUGGGACACACUCCAGGAUUGGGGUAUUCUCGGCAUGGAUUGAUGUGGGAGGACCCCUGGACUGGGAGGGAUGCAUAGGGGAAGUCCCAGUUUGGGGGGUAAGCCCUAAAUUGGGGGGGAUUGUAGGUGGGGGAGGCCCAACUUUGGGGUCAGGGGAUACCCUUGAAUUGGGGGAAUUUAGUGAGCCCCAAAAUCGGAGCAGGACCAACAGUGGUGAGACUGGACCCCAAAAAUGGGGGGUUGAAUUGAAAAAAUGGAAGAUAGACCAGGAAAAUGGGGGAGGAAACCCCUGGAAAGUGAGGGGUAACCACACAGAUCCAGGCUAUGCAGAGACCCGCUGGUGAGACCCCAAAAUUAAGGGUGUGACAACAAUGGGAGACUCUAAGGUGUAAUGCUGAACCAGUAAACUGGAGAGAUCUGCUGUAAAAUGUGGAGCAGCCUCAAAGAUAAGGGGGAGAACCCAAUCUUUGGGGGUCAAAGUGUUGGAAAACCCUUGUUUUGGGGUUUUUUUUUGGUGGGAGGAUUCCAGUUUUGGGUGGGUGGGGCAUGCCUGGAUUGGAGGGAUUGUGCAGGGAACUGCAAUUUUGGGCAUUUACAGAGGGUUUGCACCCUGGAUUAGAGGGUGAUAGAGGGAGAGAACUUUAAUUUUGUUGGCCAGUGGGUUGGAGAGCUGAAAUUUGGAGUUGUUCUGGGUGCUCAGAUCAUAAUUCUGGGGAUCAGUGUGUGGUGGGGAGCCCCCAUUGCCAGAUUUCGGGAGGUUUCUGGUUUAGGGGACUCCCAAUUUUGUGGUGAUAACUGUUGAUUUGGAGGGUUUAGGUGAGAA
Molecule: long non-coding RNA, 1618 nt
Organism: Taeniopygia guttata (zebra finch)
Lineage: Eukaryota; Metazoa; Chordata; Aves; Passeriformes; Estrildidae
Source: Ensembl